AUUGUGUAUCUGUUGCUAUUCAUUUUAACAACCUUUGUCAAAACCAGUUGCUUUAUUGUUAUAGUUUAUUUUUAAGAUGUGCUUUAUUCCGUGCGGUAUCCUUUAAAAUUUAUUUCUUGUAUAUAUUUUAAUGAAGGUGAGAUAUUAAUGAAAUUAUAGUAGGAAUAAUGUUUUGCCAUUUAUGUACAGAGCCAUAUCUAGAAGUUCCUUUGGUCAUUCUGGUGCAAUGUCUGACAAAUGUUUAGCCACUAGGUGUCUUAAGUGUGCUAGAAAUUAAGAUGAUUGAAAAAACAGUAAUUAUUUCCGUGGGUGUUUUUAUUAUUAUUAUUCUUUUGAACUAUAGUAAUCUUCUCCAGUUUCUACAUCUAUAUAGGACAGAAACUUUGCACUCUUUUGUGAGUUGAUCAAAAUGGCAAGAUCCGAUACACUUUCUCCUUUCUCAUUUUUUGCGAAAGAUGCGAAAGAUGGAGUUUUCCUACCUCUGGAGUUUGGGCAUCUCCCUUCAUGGAAUGUGUGCCUUCCUCUCUUGCAGCUUACACUGUACUGGUGAAACAAUGAAGUGUGAAUUACUUGUUGCUUCCUCUUUUGCAAGUUCCUGUCAUGUCCCUUUAACUGUUAGCUGCAGUUCUCUGGGUUUAAGACUAUAGAGUCAUAAGAAAACACCUAUAUCUGACCAGGGGUAUGAGAAUGGCUGCUUACCUGGUCCAGAGGUGGGCAGAGGUUGUGGCCCAGUGCAGCAGCCCCUCACAUCCCCAGGGGGAGAAAAUGACUUUGCCAUGGCAGCCGGCAUUUGGGGCACCUCCCGGACGGGUUGCCCUCCUGAAGUUUGAAUGUGCCCUAUCAGCGGCAAGCUGAUGGGCGGAGCCUGGGUGGUGAAGUCAUAGAUGAUUUUUUUAAAAAAAUUGUAUAGUGCUUAUAAGCCAAAAUAUGUGCAUCUAAGGCAUGCAAUAUCCAUACCAUAUUGAUAAAUGAAGAUGAUAAUUGUGAUUUUAAUGAGAAAUAAUGUGGGCCCAUACAGAGAGCCAAAAUUUAUGUUGUGCUUUAGCGAGACCAGAUACUGUAAUGUACCUUAAUACCUGCAUUUUCCUGACCACUUUGCCUAAAGCAGUAGCUGUAGAAAAAAACCAAUAUAACAGCCAGCUCUGUCUCAGAAGGAAUUAAGGUCACAAGAUUAUUAUUAUUAUAUUCAUUCUGAGGAAGGCAACUAGCCAUAAUACAGAGUAUUAUGGGAAUGCAGUUUCUUAAACUGUGCUAACCCUAUAGCUUUCCUCCAUAAGCCUUGGGUAAUAUAUAUUUUUAAAUAAGAUUCAUCUAAGUACUAAAACAUUAAUAUUUUUGAAUAGUUCUGAUAGAAAGGCAGCUUUCAACUUGCAAUAUAAUCUGUGGAGCAGAAUUAAAAUCUAGUUUUAUAAAUUGAUUUCUGAUCACCAGGCAUUUGGUUCUCUGAUUUCCGACUUAAUCUUUGUGAAAUAUGAAAUGCAGCGCUAUUGUUGAAAGCUACCCUAGCAAAAAGAAAAUGAAGCAUUCUGGUGCCAUGUCCCAACAGACCUCCUGAGUUCAUGUAGGCACUUGAGGCACCGUCUUUAUAGUUGUCUAAACAUGAGGCAAGGCUGAAGGGAGAGAAAAUCUCUUUGAUAUGACAGACUGAGCUUUAACAUAUGACUGGUUGGGAUUUUUGUUUAUGUGCCAGGCUGUGAACCUCUAUUCUUUGUAGCUAUUGCUCUUUAUGGGAAAGCUGCAGUGCUGCAGUUAGUUAAUUUUAUACUCUGAACAGAAUGAGUAUUGCAGGGGGCACUUUUUAGAUGGAAAUACAGUCGUACCUUGGAUCCCGAACGCCCUGGAACUCGGAUGUUUUGGCUCCCGAAUGCCACAAACCCAGAAGUUAUUGUUCUUUUGGAACCCGUACGUCCAAUGGGUCUUCUGCGGCUUCUGAUUGGCAGCAGAAGCUUCCUGCAGCCAAUCAGAAGCCACAAUUUGGUUUUUCGAAUGUUUUGGAAGCUGAACAGACUUCCAGAACGGAUUCUGUUUGACUUCCAAGGUACGACUGUACUUAAAAUCAUAGAAUCUUAGAGUUGGAAAGGACACCAAGGGUCAUCUAGUCCAACCCCCUGCAAUGCAGGGAUCACUUCUGUCAUUUCAAAAUGUAGUAAGCCAGCCCUGGAGACCUCCUGCUCAUUCUGCAAAGUAGGGAUCUACGCUUCCAGUUCAUAAUCCUGCCCAGACAGCAACACUGGAGACUUGUUCUGUUCUCAGCAUUGCUAGUACUAAUUUUGCUCUUUUAUGCACUUGUCACUUUACUAUAAUUCAGCAAGGCAGUGCCUUUGUUCUUGUUUAUUUUUGUGCCACACCCUUCCUCCAUUGAGCUAAGGAUGGUGUACUUGACUUUAUUCUCACAACAAUCCUGUAAGGUAGGUUAUGCCCAUAUGUACGGCAUAAACUAGAGUUAACUAUAGAUUUCAGUAGAAUGUGCUUAACUCUUCUUUUGUAAUCAAUAGAACUUAAAAGCUCUUAAUUCUGGCUAGGCAAUCUUUUCUUGCUGCAGGGUGCAGGACAAGAAAUCUCAGGAGGAAGGACUGUAGAACAGAGUUGUAUUAAAUCUAGAGUAGGGAUGGGUGAAUCUCAUAAACCUCCUUUCUCUGUUUUCCAUUUUGUCCAAACUUAAAUUCAGUUCUCCACACCAGUUUGCGAAUUCUUUUUUCAAAAGGUCCUCAUGAAAAUGCAUUAGCAUUUUAGUGCAGUUUUCUCCUAUUGUACACACUUUUCUGUGAAAUUUUGCCUAAAAUACUGUACUCAUUUCUGCAAAUCAGUUUCCCCUGAUAUACCAUAAUAUGUUUUAUAUGUUGUCUUCACUAAUAUAUGUGUGUUUGUGCACACUUUAUGCCAAAUAUAUGCUUUCGUGUACACAUUACUUGGUUGGAAAACUGCAUUGCAAACUUUGGAGAAGUGCCGGUUUCAAAGGAUGAGUGUGUCACUUCUCAAACUGUUUUAGGAAGUGUGAAUUAGGUCAAUUCACUUUUAAUGGUGAACUGAACCAAAUUUCCUCCCCAUUCCUAAUCUAGGGUUGUAUUCAACCUAAAAGCUGGUAUUUGUAGACAAACAUAUUGCUGCCCUACUUAAUAGCAUUUUUCAAACACUGGGGCAUGAUUUACAAUAUGGUUGCAAGAUAUAGUGAUCACUACUCAUAUCUUCCCUAUUUCCCACUUUAUGCUUUUUUAAAGAUAGAGGUAGCAGCUUUGAAAUUACUUCCUCGUCGUAUAAUAUCAUGGUUCGAUUUUCUGUUAGGACACCAUUUAUGCACCAGAUAAUUGUAAUUUUUUCACUUGUUAUUGAAUAAUGCCACAUAGCAGUUUGAAAUGUUCUGUCUCUUUCCAGAGUUAUGCAGCUGUGCUUAAAACUCUGCUGGCCAACUCAGUAUAUAAUAUGUUUUGCUUCUGAAACGCUGCCAUAUUACCUCCAUUAGCACAGUGGUUGGUUUGCAAACAUCUGUUUGCUCUUAUUUUGCCUAUGCUUCUUCAGAUCUGUUUCUACAUGACGUAAAUCAGUGGCAUUUGACUGGGAUGUGUGAUUUGUUUGCUAAAUAAAAUGUUAAGAAAUCGAGCGAAAUAGCUACCCUGGAGCAAUGACAUGAAUAGACACAUACAGGGGGAAAGAUGCUGAUUGUGUGUGAUGUCUUUCAUGAGUUAAGAUAGUCACGUGAUUAUCCAUUUAGAAAUAAUUAUUGGCCUCAGAAAACCCAGACCUAACCAGAGAAAGGAUAAACAAAAUCAAGGAAGUGGAAUAUUUAUACAUAUAUGUGUAUGCAUGCUUGGAUGCAAAAGAUUUUUGUUCAUGGAAUAUCUUCUCACUGACAGAAGCUGCACUGCAUAGUCAUUGCCAGCUCUGCAGGAUGGCUGGAAGUAAACCCAGUUGUGUUGGAGGUGAUGCAGUGUUCCCAGACUAACUCCCAGCACACAGCAGACAGAAUUUCGGGAGGAGCUUGCUGCAAACGUUGGCCAAGAGACAGAAGAAAGGAUACACUGGUACCUUGGGUUACAGAUGCUUCAGGUUACAGACACCGCUAACCCGGAAGUAGUACCUUGGGUUAAGAACUUUGCUUCAGGAUGAGAACAGAAAUCGCGUUGUGGUGGCGCAGCAGCAGCGGGAGGCCCCAUUAGCUAAAGUGGUACCUCAGGUUAAGAACAGUUUUAGGUUAAGAACAGACCUCCGGAAUGAAUUAAGUUCUUAACCCGAAGUACAACUGUAUUUUUGUGACCCAAUGGACAUCUGGUUAGGUAAAACAUCUGGGAUUCUAUCGGGAGUUUUGAUCCCUUAGUUACACAUCUUUGCUGGGAGCAGUCUGUUAAGAGCUCGGAUGGUUAAGAGAUUCUAGGUGUCCGGGGGAUGAUGCCAAAACUAUGGGUGUGUAUAUGAGAAAGUAUAUAGGCCCAAUCAAAGUUAUCCCUCUAUUCACUUUAAUGGGCCUCAGUUUUGUUCAUUUUUUUAAAAAUUCCCCAUGCAUAAACUAUGCACACUGCAAGGUUCUAAAUGGACGCAACUUGUUUUAUAUAUCAACAUUCUUACUGUUCCAAUAACUAAUGAAGGAUGAUAAACAUAAUUGUGUGCAGUUUCCUCUUACGUAACUGGCUACUUUUGCCGUUAUGGAGGUCAUUUAUGUAUGUUCAAUUCUGCAUGAAGUUCAAUUUUUUUCUAGCACUUUGCACACACACACACACACACACACACACACACGCAAUCUUAGCUGCUUGACCUUAAUAUAAUAUUAAAUGUCUACCUCAUAUCUAUCUAUCUAAUUGCAAAGGCUAAAAGAAAGUGAGUUAUGUAAGCUAGAGAUCGCUUUAAUUGAAAUGGAAAGCAAAAAUUAUGUGCUAUGGGACAUAACCAUCAUGAAUGAUAAUAGUGGGCAUCAACAUGUGUCCUGCAUUUCCAAUAAAUAGAGUCAUAUCUGCUGAUAAUUUUCCUGAGAUUGACUAGGGUGAUUUGCCAUCUGGUCAUUAUUUUCAGAAACUUUUCUUUUAAGUUUGAAUACAAGAGAACGGUGUUAUUACGUUUCAAUAUCUAUUCCCAUUAUACAUAUAUCAAAGGUUUGCCAGUAUUUUAACCAUAUAGUUUUGCUUACUCUGCCUUGCCUUCUGUGUCUUGGAGGCCAUAUAGACUUUUAUAUUAACUUC
Molecule: long non-coding RNA, 5168 nt
Filed under: Podarcis lilfordi (Lilford's wall lizard)
Lineage: Eukaryota; Metazoa; Chordata; Lepidosauria; Squamata; Lacertidae
Source: RNAcentral